GAUCACAAGGAGCCCGGCAGCAAUAGUGUGUUUGACGGCCGCACCAAGGAUGUGUUUGAGAACUAUAACAAGAAGAGGAUUGUGAUUCAGAACUGAAGAAGAGAGUGCAAACAUCAAAUGACGAUAACCUGCUUCGAUUGCAGAAAGUCGUAACACAAGUCAAGGGUCUCAUUUUCGCCGCAACAAGCGUACUCAUAAUUUUAAACAUUUGUGCGGGUUUCGACCUACUGUCCCCGGUACAGUGGAAGCAGUUUCAACAAAUAAUGGCUAUUUUCAGAAACAAUCUGGCUCCGGCAUCAGUUUUCAGGACUGUCAAUUAACUUGUCGUCAUCAUCAUGUGAUAUCUAGUAGUCAGGGGAAACUAAACAUAAACCUAAAACAGCUCUUGAAAGUGUCAAAUAGCAGCGUAACGUAGAGAUCGCGGGCUUGGUCAGUGUAAUCCCCCGCAGGCUCAGGGUAAAGACAGUAUGCCAACAACAAAACAAGUAAGACAGUAAGUAUGCAGUGCGGAUUAAACAUAGGUGACAAACCCUGUAUGCUUAAGAUUGACCCCUUGUGAUUUAUUCAGUUGGCACGAGUGGAUUGAGGAAAUAUUGAAUAAUAAGUUAUUUUUAAUGCCCGUCGGGGGAAAGCGGGAACUGGCGAAGUAAGCACAUUUUUAGAUAAUGAUAGUUAAAUCAGGCCUAUUUUUGGAAGUAGCUGUGCUCAAAUUUCAACCCUUUUUCGAUGACUUCCAUUUCGGUCGAAUAUCCUUCCUGAGAAGAAAUGGCUGGAGAAAUAGUGGUAGGUGUGUUUAAAGCCACUAUUGGUUUGCUCAUGGAUGAGGGCCGUGACUGGUUAGCGGAAAAACUCAAGGAAGGCGAUGUGACGGAUGAAAAAUUUCGUGACUGGAUCAUUCGGGAAAUCAAUGCUAUGAAUUUGAAGUUAGAUGCAAUCGCUUGGAAGGACCUUGGAGCAAGCAUGAACUUUUUCAAGGAAGGACUCUCGCUGAUGUAUAAAGUGCUUGAAAAAGUAAACGACAGCGAGCACGGUAUGGUACAUGAGGCAUCAAUUGAGACGUUACACGCCUGCUCUCUUUCUUCUACAGCUGGUCAAACUACGGUUUGUCUUGCUGAGGGAAUGAAGAACUUUACGCUGACUGAUUCAGAUGAAUCGAAGAAAGAGGCACUGUAUGAUGCGAAAAAGAGAUUCAAGGAUGCCCGCAAGAAAGCAACCGAGGCCUUCAGCAACUCGGCACUGCGGCCGGCGGAGCGAGUGUUAGCCAUGCAGUAUCGUAUUAUGGCGACAUUACUCGAGAAAGUGGACAACCCUGCUAGUGCAUUAACCGCGUGUAAACUGUGCUUAGAACAGCUUCACGCUAUGACGUUGGUUCAGAAAAGUCUUAAAGUGGAACUCAAGAAAAGUUUCAAGUUUUUGCUGAGCAGAGAUGAACGCAGGGAAAUCAUUUCUGCCGUUUGCCAAAUAAAUCACGUCGUCUACGUUAUUGCCGAGAUGGUUGGCGAUCUUAAAACAGUCUUGAACUGGCCAUGUAUCAUACUCGGAGAAGAGCAGCUUGAUCCCUUGCGUGACGUACGUGUGGUGAAGGUGAUGAGAAAACUUCAUAAGCAACAAUCUGGUGCAUUGAGGUCAUUUGGUCAGGAGGAGGGCCACGAGCUAAAGGGUCCUCAAAGUAUCGCCGCAAACACUCGAGGACAGCUUGUUGUAACAGACAACAUGAAUUGUGAAUUAAAAGUGUAUGACAGUAAGGGCAAGUGCUUGUCCCAUUGCCCACUUCUUGGCAACGAUGACAAGGCUGCAGUGGUGAGAGUUCGAAGUGUAGCGACAGAUCAGAAUGACAGAAUGUACAUUCUGGUAGACUCCAGGCCAGCUAAUACUGUGUAUGUGCUCAGCGACACACACACGAAUAGAAAUUGUUUUUCUCUGGAGGAGAGACUAGGAGGCCGCUCUUUGACAGUAAACAACAACAAUCAAGUACUUGUCUUGGUGGAGGAAGAUCUGAGCAAAACCCCGAGUGCAUGCAUGACGAUCUCCAUCGAAUGUAAAGUAGAAGUGUACCGCCCUAAUGGACGACUUGUACGCAGCUUUGGACAGGGAAUAUUAAAAGAUACUGUCGAUAUCACAGCUACUAAUGAUGGCAGUGUUAUGGUGCUACAAGGAAAUUCUUGUGUUCACGUGUUCGACGCUGAAGGAAGCCAUGUCCACCAGUUCCAAGUGAUGGGCAAUACUGGCCCUGAAACAGGCGCUGCAAUGACAUUUCACCAGGCAACCGAUCAUACGUUUAUUGCUUCAACAAAUUCAGACCAUCGCCUCCAGGUCUCGAUACACGGCAAAGAUGGCGUCUUUCUUCGCAGCAUUCAACUCCACGAGAAAGGGAAGUGGUGCAUUACGGGAAUCGCAGUCACCAUGCAGCUGAACAUUGCUGUGUCCAUAUACGAUGAAUGUCAAGAGGACAGUACAGUACUGGUUGCUUGAUGUGGUCUGCAACUGAAUAUUGCUCUUUAUUAGGCUAUAAAUUACAAACACAAACACAAGCGGUAUUGUUAUGUCUGGCUGAAGAUAAUCGAAACAAGUUAGCUCAACCUUGAAUUCCCUGCAAUCGAGCUCUAGACUACCUGGGGAGCUUUUCGGCAAAGCUUCACAAAAUUAAGUACAACUUGUUCUUUUAUUGAAAUGUGAAAUUUUAAAAGAGAAUUGCAUUUUUCCAACCGAUUGGCACGAAACUCUUUCAUUUUAUAAUUAACAGCCAUAAGGGGUUUUUCCUUUCCAAAACUGGAAUGAAUGGCAUGGUUUUCCGGUCGAACAGGAAAAUUUGCCCGGAAGGGAAAUUUCCCUUGACAAGAUCAGCGACGUGUAUGACUAAUGAUUCAUAAUUGUGUUGCCUCAAACGAAGUACUUAAGAUAUAUAUCUUAUAAACCAGACGCGAGGGCCGUGAUGCCAGAAUAUUGGCCCAAGACGGUUCUUGCAUGAGAGUGCGGACCGCGGGCAGCGAGGUCCGUACAGUAAAGUCCAAAGGCAGAUAUUCUACCCUGUGCAGUCCCGAGCAAACUUGGUUAAUAUUAGACUUAUUACAUAAUUAUUUAUAGCUCGAUAACAAUUUUUAAAAUUGAUUUUUUUAAAAAGUAAGGAAUGUUAUUUGUAUUCAGUAGUAUUUUUUAAGACUGGAACUUGGCAAGUCAGUGUAAUCUUAAAAGGGGCUAUGUCUCGGUAGACUAUUUUGAGUCAAUUCUUCUGAUGAGCAGAAUUGUCUUUAGAAUGUGAAGUAACCUCGAGAUAAAAGCUUUCCACGGUAGCAGGCACCAAAAAGUGAAACUAAGAGUAAACAAGAAGGGCUAAACUGACAAAGGUUAGGAAAGAUUUCCUGUCAAACUCGAAAAAGUUGGCCAAUGUUUUUCUAAGACGCGCCUUCCGAGAGGUAGCGCGUUAUCCGGCUUAUCCAGUGCUUCCACUUCAACAUGUUUUAUCUACUCGCUUGCUCAUCACAAAAUAUGCUUCUAGAAAGUUACCGUGGACCGCCUAGCGUGCAAGAAGGCUCACCUCGUAGCUUGACGCUGUCUAAUUACAAGAAAAAUGUGACAGCCAAUGUGAAAACUAUGGUUGUUCGUAGUGUGUGGGCAUAUCAAAAAUUACGGCUACUGAGACGUAAUUCCUGGCUUCAAAAUGCAGGUAAGAGCCGCAUCGUUUGAGAACUUUGCACUAGUGUUGUUCAUUGAUUUCAGAUUCUCAAAGUUCCCCGGCCUUUUAAUUUUCGGCGGUAACUCGGCGCUUUUCGUUUUGCCGCGUUACAAUUUCUGCCGCGUUUUCUUCAUUCCGCGCCCCAACUACACUCUUUUAUAAUGCUUUUUUUCCGGCCGAGGCUGAAUAUUCAUAUAUUUCUACCGAUUUUAGGCUGGAAAUAUUCUUGUGAAUAUUCUUAGAUUAUAGCGCAUGACAUUUCUGUUUUGGAAUGUAUUUGGUGUCUGGACGGUGUUGAAGUGAUCUUGGAGCCAGCCUGCGGGCAUUAAAGGCUGAUAUGAGUACAUAAAAUCUUGCAGAAAUCUUAAUUCAGGGCCGUAGCCAGAAACAAAUUAUGACUGAGGCAGUGUCCUAGAAAUGAGUUGUGACUGAGGCAAUGUCCAUGGUUUCAUUCUCUUCAUGGGAGUUUAGGGUGUUUUGGUGACUUUAAACAACAAAAACGAAAAAUAUGACUGGGGCAAGUGCCUCGUUUUGCCAGUUACUAGCUACGGCCCUGCAAUUAUUAGCAUCGUACAUACGGAUAGGGCUGUUUUUGUUCCUUUUUGGCUAGUUUUGCGAUUUAUUAGUUAGAGAAAGGAAGAAUUUGAUACGAUUUAGUUAAAAACAUAAUUCUGUUGUAUUUUUGAACACAAAAUUAUGUUCUUUUUGGCAAAAUCCUAGCCUCGACUUUAAUCUUAAGAUAAUCUUAAAAUUUCGCAAAUUUCAGCUUCGAUACCCCUUUAAAAUAUAUUCUUCUAAAAUAAAAGAGAGAGAGAAAAGAGUGUAAUAAACUUUUCACUUCACGGUGUAUCGAUAAACUGAAUCUUUAUACACUGAGUUUGUUAUGAUUCCAGAUUACCACUACGAGAAGAAACAUAUCUAGUGCUAUCUUUUCGAAGCCGGCUUACUUAAUUUUCGACGUAUUCUUUGAAUUACCAAAAAUGCAACAGUUUUUGGAAGAAAAGUUGCCGAUUUCUUCAGUGAUCAGCUCUCCAAGUCUGAAAAGUAUCCCAAGAGCUCUUUGUCGAUCACGCCAAUGCCGUCGUUUACUGAUCAGUUUGCUUAGCUUGGCAAAGCCGUCUGCCAGGAAUACCGCUUUCUCCUCGGAAAACCAAUCCUGAAGCGCUAGAUUCCUGUUGAAAAGUCAAGUUUGUGUUGCCGCUUUACCCUGUCCUAUUUUUACCCUUGCCGGAACAGUCGGACCAUUCCUUCGCUUAGGAAACACAACACACAUGAACUUCUUUCUCAUUCUAAAGUUAAGCAAACAAAGUAGAAAAAUCGGUAUUAAUUUUGCGGUUUCCUGUCCUUUUACAGUUCGAAACUCCAAGAAUCCGGCAAUUCUGUUCUUUUUUUCCCCUUUUUUCAGAUCUGACGACUCGUCUGUUAUGUAUUUCUCGGACCGGCGCGGACUAGGUGUCCUAAAGAGCGUUAGACGAAGUCUUAUGCGAGUUAUUUUAUUUAAAAAAUCUAUAUUUUUUUUAUCGGUACGAGUAUUAAAAUAGGUCACAUCUGAAUAUGUCAGAUCAUAGCUGACACCGCCAGAAAUUCGAGACAUUUGAGUCCGCGGAUUUAACAGCGGCAAUUUGUUAAAAAAUAAACGAAAUGGCCGUCGCGAAAAGAAAGCAUUCGGCGGUCGAAAAUAAAUUUGAUGCAGUCACCUGCAAGAGCUCCAGGUAAAAAAUGUUCACUAUUACUUGCUUUAGCUCUCUCCAUUUCAGCAAUGCCUUGUGCGGUAUUUUCGAACCUAGGUACGUUCCGGCUCUCUGUUUAAAAAUAUAGUGCAUGGACGACGUAUUUUCCAAAAUGUUUAGUUGAAAAUUCGCUUUCAACUGUUCUCGCCACGUAUAAUUUUCAGACAUGGCAAUACACAAAGAGAAGGAACAAUUUCCCUCGAAGAAAUCAAAAUUCCCGCAGAACAAAAUGGUAAAAACCACUGGGAAAAAACAAUGACUAUGGGCUCAUAUACAGCUGAUGAGAAGCAAAAGUGAAGCAUACACAAAGUAAAUUUUGUAUUUAGUGGUAAAACCACUGAUCUCAAAUAUCGUUUUAACGUAAAAGUAGAGAAAAAUAUCUUUCAAGUGAUGUGUUUUGGAGCAAAAUUGGAGCAUAGACGGUCGAAACAUCGUAGUUCAAAGAUAGCGAAUUUUGCAAUUUUAUCGUGGAUUGCCAUGCGAUGUUUACCGAAGGCAUUUUCUUCAUGGUUUUCAAAAGUAAAAAGGAAACAUCGAAAUUAGUCGUAUGGAGCUGUGAGACCCAAGAGUACCGGCGCCACAAACAAACCAAACUGCUGUGCGCUGCAAGUUGGAUGCAGUAAAGAUGGAAAAGAUGGAAAAGAUGGACAAAACGG
Orbicella faveolata is the source of this 6059-nucleotide unclassified non-coding RNA. The record is from RefSeq and is a predicted model, not a curated record. NCBI's taxonomy places the organism in Eukaryota, Metazoa, Cnidaria, Anthozoa, Scleractinia, Merulinidae.